This is a non-coding RNA of Ameiurus melas (black bullhead), 78 nucleotides long. The record is from the annotation of a GenBank genome assembly. NCBI's taxonomy places the organism in Eukaryota, Metazoa, Chordata, Actinopteri, Siluriformes, Ictaluridae.
GCACAGGGGCUUAGUGGUUAGCACGUCUGCCUCACACAACCAGAGUUGGGGGUUCGAUUCCCGCUGCGGUCCUGUGCG